UACGUAGGGUGCGAGCGUUGUCCGGAUUUAUUGGGCGUAAAGAGCUCGUAGGCGGUCUGUCGCGUCGGAUGUGAAAACCCAGGGCUCAACCCUGGGCUGCCAUUCGAUACGGGCAGACUAGAGUACGGCAGGGGAGACUGGAAUUCCUGGUGUAGCGGUGAAAUGCGCAGAUAUCAGGAGGAACACCGGUGGCGAAGGCGGGUCUCUGGGCCGAAACUGACGCUGAGGAGCGAAAGCGUGGGGAGCGAACAGG
RNAcentral lists this ribosomal RNA (253 nucleotides) under uncultured bacterium. RNAcentral describes it as "partial 16S ribosomal RNA". It matches the Rfam family "Bacterial small subunit ribosomal RNA", at positions 524 to 776 of the family's 1533-position model. The record is from RNAcentral.